UGUCUCACUUCAGUAGCUCAUACACUAAAAUUGGACCGAUGCAGAGAAGAUUGGCCUCUGUGCAAGGAUGUCACGCAUAUUCGUGAAGCAUCCCACGUUUUU
Mesocricetus auratus (golden hamster) is the source of this 102-nucleotide small nuclear RNA. The record is from Ensembl. Lineage: Eukaryota; Metazoa; Chordata; Mammalia; Rodentia; Cricetidae.